ACCAUGGCCUGGGCUCUGCUCCUUGUCACCCUCCUCACUCAGGGCACAGGGUCCUGGGCCCAGUCUGCCCUGACUCAGCCUGCCUCGGUGUCCGGGAAUCCAGGAGCGACGGUCACCAUCUCCUGUGCUGGCACGAGCAGUGACGUCGGGAGUUAUAACUAUGUCGGCUGGUACCAACAGCACCCGGGCUCGGCCCCCAAAACCCUGAUUUAUCAGAACAAUAAGCGGCCCUCAGGGAUCUCGGAUCGCUUCUCUGGCUCCAAGUCUGGGAACAUGGCCACCCUGACCAUCUCUGGGCUCCAGGCUGUGGACGAGGCUGUUUAUUACUGUAGCUCAGGAGAGCUCAGCUCGGAGUCCCAGGGCUGGGGUUCAGGAGCAGAUGUGGGUGGAGGCCCCCCUUCAUCUCAGAACUUGGGGCAGGGGUAA
Hippopotamus amphibius kiboko is the source of this 426-nucleotide non-coding RNA. NCBI's taxonomy places the organism in Eukaryota, Metazoa, Chordata, Mammalia, Artiodactyla, Hippopotamidae. The record is from the annotation of a RefSeq genome assembly.